UGCCCACUGAUUAAAAAUUAAAGGGCUGCAGUAUUUUGACUGUACAAAGGUAGCAUAAUCAUUAGUCAUUUAAUUGGUGACUUGUAUGAAGGAUUGGAUGAAAUAUUAACUGUCUUAAAUAUAAAUUUUAUAAUUUAAUUUUUUAGUUAAAAAGCUAAAAUAUUAUAAAAAGACGAGAAGACCCUAUAGAGUUUAAUUAAAUAAUUAAAUUAAUAUGUUUUAUAUAAAUUUAGAUUUAAAUUUAGUUUUUAAUUUUAUUGGGGUGAUAUAAAAAUUUAGUAAACUUUUUAUUUAAAAGAACAUAGAUAAGUGAGUAAAUGAUCCAAUAAUAUUGAUUAUAAGAAAAAAUUACCUUAGGGAUAACAGCGUAAUUUUAUUUUUUAGUUCAUAUAAGAAAUAAAGUUUGCGACCUCGAUGUUGGAUUAAGAUAAAAUUUAAAUGUAGAAGUUUAAAGUUUUGA
This 460-nucleotide ribosomal RNA is filed under the name Euproctis kargalika. Its description in RNAcentral is "partial large subunit ribosomal RNA". Lineage: Eukaryota; Metazoa; Arthropoda; Insecta; Lepidoptera; Erebidae. The record is from RNAcentral.